RNAcentral lists this ribosomal RNA (301 nucleotides) under uncultured bacterium. RNAcentral describes it as "partial 16S ribosomal RNA". It matches the Rfam family "Bacterial small subunit ribosomal RNA", at positions 509 to 807 of the family's 1533-position model. The record is from RNAcentral.
CAUCAGCCACGGUAAUACGAAGGGGGCUAGCGUUGCUCGGAAUCACUGGGCGUAAAGGGUGCGUAGGCGGGUCUUUAAGUCAGGGGUGAAAUCCUGGAGCUCAACUCCAGAACUGCCUUUGAUACUGAAGAUCUUGAGUUCGGGAGAGGUGAGUGGAACUGCGAGUGUAGAGGUGAAAUUCGUAGAUAUUCGCAAGAACACCAGUGGCGAAGGCGGCUCACUGGCCCGAUACUGACGCUGAGGCACGAAAGCGUGGGGAGCAAACAGGAUUAGAUACCCGCGUAGUCCCUGUCUCUUAUAC